CAGCAGCCACGGUAAUGCGUAGGGUGCAAGCGUUAAUCGGAAUUACUGGGCGUAAAGCGUGCGCAGGCGGUUUGUUAAGACAGAUGUGAAAUCCCCGGGCUCAACCUGGGAACUGCAUUUGUGACUGGCAGGCUAGAGUAUGGCAGAGGGGGGUGGAAUUCCGCGUGUAGCAGUGAAAUGCGUAGAUAUGCGGAGGAACACCGAUGGCGAAGGCAGCCCCCUGGGCCAAUACUGACGCUCACGCACGAAAGCGUGGGGAGCAAACAGGAUUAGAUACCCGCGUAGUCCCUGUCUCUUAUAC
RNAcentral lists this ribosomal RNA (301 nucleotides) under uncultured bacterium. Its description in RNAcentral is "partial 16S ribosomal RNA". It matches the Rfam family "Bacterial small subunit ribosomal RNA", at positions 509 to 807 of the family's 1533-position model. The record is from RNAcentral.